Molecule: ribosomal RNA, 465 nt
Filed under: uncultured bacterium
Lineage: Bacteria
Description: partial 16S ribosomal RNA
Rfam family: Bacterial small subunit ribosomal RNA
Source: RNAcentral
GACGAGCGCUGGCGGCGUGCUUAACACAUGCAAGUCGAACGGAAAGGCCCUGCUUGCAGGGUACUCGAGUGGCGAACGGGUGAGUAACACGUGGGUGAUCUGCCCUGCACUUCGGGAUAAGCCUGGGAAACUGGGUCUAAUACCGGAUAGGAGCCAUUUUUAGUGUGAUGGUUGGAAAGUUUUUUCGGUGUAGGAUGAGCUCGCGGCCUAUCAGCUUGUUGGUGGGGUAAUGGCCUACCAAGGCGGCGACGGGCAGCCGGCCUGAGAGGGUGGACGGCCACAUUGGGACUGAGAUACGGCCCAGACUCCUACGGGAGGCAGCAGUGGGGAAUAUUGCACAAUGGGCGCAAGCCUGAUGCAGCGACGCCGCGUGGGGGAUGACGGCCUUCGGGUUGGAAACUCCUUUCGCUAGGGACGAAGCUUUUUGUGACGGUACCUAGAUAAGAAGCACCGGCUAACUACGUG